AGCGUGGAGACAGGUGGUGCAUGGCUGUCGUCAGCUCGUGUCGUGAGAUGUUGGGUUAAGUCCCGCAACGAGCGCAACCCUCACCCUUUGUUGCCAUCAGGUUAUGCUGGGCACUCUAAGGGAACUGCCUCGGUUAACGAGGAGGAAGGUGGGGAUGACGUCAAGUCAUCAUGCCCCUUACGCUCUGGGCUACACACGUGCUACAAUGGCCAAUACAAAGGGCUGCAAACCCGCGAGGGUAAGCCAAUCCCAAAAAAUUGGUCUCAGUUCAGAUUGUAGGCUGCAACCCGCCUGCAUGAAGGAGGAAUCGCUAGUAAUCGUGGAUCAGCAUGCCACGGUGAAUACGUUCCCGGGCCUUGUACACACCGCCCGUCACACCACGAAAGUCUGCUGUACUCGAAGUCGCUGAG
This 410-nucleotide ribosomal RNA is filed under the name uncultured Methylomirabilota bacterium. RNAcentral's name for it is "bacterial SSU rRNA". It matches the Rfam family "Bacterial small subunit ribosomal RNA", at positions 1025 to 1434 of the family's 1533-position model. Lineage: Bacteria; Methylomirabilota (SeqCode). The record is from RNAcentral.